Molecule: transfer RNA, 71 nt
Filed under: Dipodomys ordii (Ord's kangaroo rat)
Lineage: Eukaryota; Metazoa; Chordata; Mammalia; Rodentia; Heteromyidae
Rfam family: tRNA
About the family: Transfer RNA (tRNA) molecules are approximately 80 nucleotides in length.
Source: Rfam by way of RNAcentral
GGCGCUGUAGCUCAAGUGGUAGAGCGCUUGCCUUGCAUGCUCGAGGCCCUGGGUUCGAUUCCUCAGCACUA